ACGUACACUCCUGCGGGAGGCAGCAGUGGGGAAUAUUGCACAAUGGGCGCAAGCCUGAUGCAGCCAUGCCGCGUGUAUGAAGAAGGCCUUCGGGUUGUAAAGUACUUUCAGCGGGGAGGAAGGCAAUACGGUUAAUAACCGUGUUGAUUGACGUUACCCGCAGAAGAAGCACCGGCUAACUCCGUGCCAGCAGCCGCGGUAAUACGGAGGGUGCAAGCGUUAAUCGGAAUUACUGGGCGUAAAGCGCACGCGGGCGGUCUGUCAAGUCGGAUGUGAAAUCCCCGGGCUCAACCUGGGAACUGCAUUCGAAACUGGCAGGCUUGAGUCUUGUAGAGGGGGGUAGAAUUCCAGGUGUAGCGGUGAAAUGCGUAGAGAUCUGGAGGAAUACCGGUGGCGAAGGCGGCCCCCUGGACAAAGACUGACGCUCAGGUGCGAAAGCGUGGGGAGCAAACAGGAUUAGAAACCCUAGUAGUCCC
RNAcentral lists this ribosomal RNA (476 nucleotides) under uncultured organism. RNAcentral describes it as "partial 16S ribosomal RNA". It matches the Rfam family "Bacterial small subunit ribosomal RNA", at positions 329 to 797 of the family's 1533-position model. The record is from RNAcentral.